Molecule: ribosomal RNA, 482 nt
Filed under: uncultured bacterium
Lineage: Bacteria
Description: partial 16S ribosomal RNA
Rfam family: Bacterial small subunit ribosomal RNA
Source: RNAcentral
AUUGAACGCUGGCGGCAUGCCUUACACAUGCAAGUCGAACGGUAACAGGUCUUCGGUUGCUGACGAGUGGCGAACGGGUGAGUAAUACAUCGGAACGUGCCCAGACGUGGGGGAUAACGAGGCGAAAGCUUUGCUAAUACCGCAUACGAUCUAAGGAUGAAAGCAGGGGACCGCAAGGCCUUGCGCGUUUGGAGCGGCCGAUGGCAGAUUAGGUAGUUGGUGGGAUAAAAGCUUACCAAGCCGACGAUCUGUAGCUGGUCUGAGAGGACGACCAGCCACACUGGGACUGAGACACGGCCCAGACUCCUACGGGAGGCAGCAGUGGGGAAUUUUGGACAAUGGGCGAAAGCCUGAUCCAGCAAUGCCGCGUGUAGGAUGAAGGCCUUCGGGUUGUAAACUGCUUUUGUACGGAACGAAAAGGCUCUGGCUAAUACCUGGGGCACAUGACGGUACCGUAAGAAUAAGCACCGGCUAACUACGUG